RNAcentral lists this ribosomal RNA (465 nucleotides) under Cupriavidus sp. S5.ACT.021. RNAcentral's name for it is "bacterial SSU rRNA". It matches the Rfam family "Bacterial small subunit ribosomal RNA", at positions 10 to 470 of the family's 1533-position model. The record is from RNAcentral. Lineage: Bacteria; Pseudomonadati; Pseudomonadota; Betaproteobacteria; Burkholderiales; Burkholderiaceae.
AGUUUGAUCCUGGCUCAGAUUGAACGCUGGCGGCAUGCCUUACACAUGCAAGUCGAACGGCAGCACGGGAGCAAUCCUGGUGGCGAGUGGCGAACGGGUGAGUAAUACAUCGGAACGUGCCCUGUCGUGGGGGAUAACUAGUCGAAAGAUUAGCUAAUACCGCAUACGACCUGAGGGUGAAAGCGGGGGACCGCAAGGCCUCGCGCGAUAGGAGCGGCCGAUGUCUGAUUAGCUAGUUGGUGGGGUAAAGGCCCACCAAGGCGACGAUCAGUAGCUGGUCUGAGAGGACGAUCAGCCACACUGGGACUGAGACACGGCCCAGACUCCUACGGGAGGCAGCAGUGGGGAAUUUUGGACAAUGGGGGCAACCCUGAUCCAGCAAUGCCGCGUGUGUGAAGAAGGCCUUCGGGUUGUAAAGCACUUUUGUCCGGAAAGAAAUCCCCUGCCCUAAUACGGCGGGGGGAU